Molecule: RNA transcript, 5039 nt
Organism: Nicotiana tabacum (common tobacco)
Lineage: Eukaryota; Viridiplantae; Streptophyta; Magnoliopsida; Solanales; Solanaceae
Source: RefSeq, a predicted model, not a curated record
UUUCAUAAAUGUAUCUAUUGAAUGUAUACAUUUCCAAUCGAAAGGUUGUGAGUUCGAGUCUCCCAAGAGUAAGGUGGGAAGUUUUUGGAGGGAAGGAUGCCGGAGGUCUAUUUGGAAACAGUCUCUGUACCCUAGGAUAGGGGUAAGCCCUCCCAAGUGAGAUUAUACUGGGUUGUUGUAUCUAUUGAAUGUAUAACUGGCCUGUUUGAACUUUGAAUGCAUAGCUGACCUGGUCGAGCGAGAUGACAUGGCAACAAGAACGAAUAGGAAAAAGACAAAUGGGCUAUUGAAUUUUACUAUUGUUUCCCCCCUUUUGCGUUCAUUCAUCAUAUGCACGUACAUGGCUCGUCUUUGAGAGAAGAAUCUAUCACCUAAUUGACUCAGGGCUACCUUCGAACCUUAAAUUCAUGUAUUACUUGACUAUUUUUGGUACUUACAACUUUACAUAUGUUUUUCUUCUUUUAAUUUCUUUGUUUGGUUGAAUUGUUAGUGGUACGUAAUGUACUUUUGGGCUGUGCUUCGUAUUGCUUUGAGUAAGUUGAUAAAAAGACCCUUUUUUGGGUUGGAGCAUAGGGUAGAAAUUCUGCGUAUAUUUGGGCGAUGUUAACAAUUUCUUUUAAAGAUCACUGCCUUUUGAGUUUUCUCUUUUUCCGGCAAACUAAUUGAUCGAACGAGGUGGUUGAGUUUCUGACUUCAAAGAAUUUGUCAGUGCUCUUGUGAAAGUUUCAUGGGUGAGUGUCUUUGAUGUUUUAUUGAACAUAUAGGGUUCUAUUGUAGCUGGAAGCUUACCCCUCUUCUAUAUACUGUAAUGUACACAAACAGAAGGAUAUGAAAGAAGACAAACAUUGGUUCUUCCUAAUAGGUUAGUUGGACUUUUUCUUCCUUUGUUGUAUUAUUUUGUAAAACAUGUUGUCACGAUAAUUUCUGUCUUACUUCUAUUCAUUUGAUUUUGUUUGCCUUAAAUAAAAAAAAUUAAUUUGAUUUUGUUUGCUGUUCGGAUAUAACUUCUUGUUGAUUUACCUUCUUUGUUUCAGUUGCUUGUAAAUUAUAGUGACAACAUGUUACCAGAUUUCAGUUUGAUGGUUUCUUUUAUAAAAAUGUUCUUUUCUUUCACUGGGAUGGAUUUUAUCAUCAAGGUGUAGGUUCAUGAAAUCUUAUUUCAGUAAAUCGGAGAAGUUGACUAGCGCCUUUCUCAAGCAGAAUCAAUGGUACAAAAUGCUUACUCAUCAUCAGAACUAAGAGACACUUAAGAAGAUAUGAGAAUUAUAUAUUUCGCCCUCAUGUUUGUAUGUGAAAGCUAUUUUUGUACCCCCCUUAUUUAGAUGCACACUACCUUAGUUGGAUUUAAAUGAAAGACCUGUAAGACGGCGCCUACCCUUCCUUUCUGUUCAUGAAGCCCUCAUAUAUGAUAUAUCUAGUAUCAUAGGUAGAGUGAUAUCUCCAGUUUGCCCAUCCUCUGGCAUUGUGUUUGUAAUGGGACUUGAGCUUAUCUGUGCACCACAACUGCGACCCUUGUCUUCAUGCAAUCAGGCUAUUCUUUGCUACUAAAGUGGCACCUUGUCUCUUGGUCUAUCUCGUCGUCCCUCUCCUAACCUGUCCUUAGUUGCAUAUUUGGACGCUUACUGGCAUAUCAACCCGAUACCUGUUGCUCUACUAUGGUUAUGCUGUUUUUUUUGGUUCUGACAUUGUCGCCUUGAGUGCAAGAAACAACCUACUGGUACUAAACCCAGUGUAUAUUGACAACUCCAAUCCAUCAAUUACAUUGACAAAGCAUAUUCAGAUAAGAGAUAUAGAUUAGUAUUAAGGCAUACCUAUGAAAUGGAUUUAAUAGAUCAAAUGUAAAUUUCAAAGUAGAUACAUAUAUGAGUAAAAUUUUCUUUGUGCAACGUAUAGCCUGAUCGUUCUGUUUCUUUUCUACUUAUUCUUUUUCUUUUAUGAUUGUAGCUGCAGCAUUGUUCAUGUAUCAUGUAUUCUGGUAGGGCUAAUUGUACUUCCCACAUUUUAGCUUUGUCAAGUUUUGCAUUAGCUCUAUUUUGGAAGCAUGUCACGGUAUUGCUUUUCAGACCAGCUAGUAAAUCUAUUGGGAGCAAAGCAAUUAAACUUGCUGAAUAAUGCCACCAAACUCUUAGGUCAUUCAUAUCAAACUGAUGUUGUGUUGAGUAAAGUGGCAUUACUGCCUAUAGUGCUGAUAUGUUCGAGAGAGCACUCUGUCACUUUGGUUGCCUAUCUGAUGCAAAAUCCUUGUGAUAGUGCUCCAACAACCUGCAUUUCAAUCCCCAUUUUUUUUGUUGAAUUCCCUUGGGGAGGCAGGAAGAAGAUAAAGGAUAUAUGAAACCUUCUUGACUAGGAUUUAGGUCUAAUGCUUCCACUAAUCUUAAGAACAAAUUCAGGGAGAUUAGGAAUCAAUUUGGUCAAAUCUGUGGUGGUCUCCAUAGCUAGAUGACUAUGAACCAAAUAGAAACAGAGAUCAUUCACAAUAUUAUAUAUCCCUAGUAAAUUAUCGUUGUUUUAGAAUGGUGUAUAAGAAGAAUAAGGAAGCAAUACUUUUUUCCAAAUGUAGACAAGUGGCUUCUUACCCUUUAAUAUUGAUUUAGGAGUCAUAGAAUUUUCUCAUUCACUCAUUGGUUUGAUCAUUUCACUAAUCAUGCAAUGGAAGUAUGUAAAUUAUCUGCUAUUAGUUAUAUCUGCUUCUCCUCUAGUUUAAGGAGAAUCAUUUCAAUGAAAUUUUGAGCUAUUUUCUGGAUAAAACUUAACCUGACAUCAGAUUUAGACAAUGCUGCAGGAUUCUUUCUAGAUGCUGAAAGUCAUAAGCAUAACCUGUUAAAUUUGGACUCCAUUCAGGAAAACAACCAUGGGAGGAGACAAGAUGAGCAAUGGCCUAAUUAAAUCAGCAUGUGAUGCGCAGCUGGAUCUUUUUGGAACUUGUAAACCUGCUGCACAUUUGGCCAACAAAAGUACGCAGGGGAAGGAACACAUGAGAAUGCAUAUUGAGCCACAAGGAGAGAAUAUAUUCAGGAGAGAGCUCCUCAAUCCAAUCAGGCACCUAAAUGCUCCUUCUAAUCCAUCAUUAAAACUCUCAAGGCGACCAUCGAAGGAUUCCAGCCUAGUUUCAAAGUUAAUGUUAUCUGCUCGACUUUCACAUGCUAUUCUUCCCUUAUGCACCAAUCUCAAAACCAGUGCCAUUUAGACGAGUUUGACUUUAAAACUUGGACAGAUAAGAAGUAGCAAGAGCAUUUGCAAAAUUGAAAUGCAUGCUACGUUGGCUUCCCUUAGUACUGUAAUCAUAUAUCUGAAUCUUGGAAUUCUGAUUCCUCAAUAUAUUCAUCUAUUUUUAAGAGUUAAGACCAGGAAGACUUUUGGCUCCUCAAUCUUCUUGCCGAAGGAGGUGAUCUGGUAAAGCUGGCUUCUGUACUUAAGUGAUACCCUUUUCUCCAUCUGAUAGAGGAUUGAAGAUCUCUGACAUAGGCAGGGGCACACUUAGUUGGCUAAGGAAGUCUAGUGGGCCUGUCCAUGGCACUACACAUUUAGAAGCUACCAGGGGCGCCGUGCCCAUGACAUUAUAUAUGUGAAAAAUGUCUAGCCAACUUCAGAUCAGUGCAAUAGAAGUUUCCCGAUUAGCAUGAGAAGAGAACUCUGCAAUGUAAUCAGGCACCUAUGUUCCUUGGGACUAUAUUCGAAGUUGUCAGCUGAGCCUCAAAAGAGUUCUAUCCACACUUCAAAUCUAUUUCUGGGGAGCGUACAUAUUGUUGUUUUCAGGGACUGCUAGAGGAUCUUUUGGGAGAAAUGCAAUUAAGCUUGCUGAGCAAUGCCACUUUAUACUAAAUUGAUAUUGAGUCGAGCAAAGUGGCAUUGUUAAUUGCUCCAUUUAUAUGUUCGAAAGAAUGGUAGGUUGGCUGCUUUGCCCGCUGAUCUGGUGCCAGAUCCUUGUGCUAGAUCUUCAUUUUGUUUUCUUUGUUGAAUUUGGCUAAGGAUCUAGAAGAAAAAGGACAUAGGAUAAGCAUUCUGAUUAGAUCUACUGCUUCCAAUUAUCUCAGAAGGAAGACAGAUGAUAUCAAGAUUGUCAUAGUUACAGUGGUCUCCAUAUCUAGAUGGACUAUGAAGUAAGAUAAGCAAAUCAUAAGCUAUAUUCCUAAUUUAUCGGUGAUGCCUAAAGUAUGGUGGAUAAGGAGCAUAAGGAAGAAACAUUUCAUCCAGAUUAUGGCCCUUCAUUAGUUUGAUCUUUGAAGCCAAUUAUGCAGAGAAAGUAUGUAAUGAAUAUGCUAUGCGUUUUAUCUGUUUCCCCAUCUAGUCUAAAGAGGACCAUUUCAAUGGAUAUCGAGAUAUUUGAGACACAAACUUAACCUGAUAUCAGAGUAUGGAACAACAACUGCCAGAUUAACAAGAAAGAACAUUGAGGAGCGAGCUUCUAGAUCUGAUCAAGCACCUAAAUGUGGCUUCCAGCGUAUUUUCAAAGCUGUCAAGGUACGGCCCGAAGGUUUCCAGCCUGGUUUCUAAGCUCGCGUUUUCUUCUUGAACUUCAGGUGCUAUUCUGUCUUUGUGUACCAAUCUUGAAAGCAAUGACCAUUUUGAUUGCUUUGGCUUCAAAAGUGGCACACACAGGAAGGACAAGAGCAUUUGGAAAGUUGAAAUGCAUACUGCAUUAGCUUCUCUUAGUGCUCUAAUCGCAUCUAUUGUAUCUUCAUCUGCAUCUGGCAAGACUGAUACUGCAGUCUCUUGAUCCAUUUGUUUCAAAGUCAAGACUAAUAUUUUGGCAUCCCUCUUGAUCUUCUUGCUGAAAGAGGUAAAUCUGGCAACACUGUCAUCUGUAGUUGAAUCUCCUUUUCUCCUUCUGAGAGAUGAUUGAAGAUCUCUUACAUUUUCUUUAUAUUGCGAGACAAGUUCCCUUAUAGUGCAACAAACAUCAAGAAGCCUCGCGGAUUUGUCCAAUAAAUCUUCAAUCCAUUUAGCAUCUAGACUUUGGUAAAUGGUGUAAGCACGUGAUUUUUGCCCUAUAAGAGAAUUACUCCCAAAAAAUUCAAAAAUAAAAUAAUUUUUCUUUG